RNAcentral lists this small RNA (163 nucleotides) under Beauveria bassiana D1-5. Its description in RNAcentral is "Enterobacterial sRNA STnc430". It matches the Rfam family "Enterobacterial sRNA STnc430". Lineage: Eukaryota; Fungi; Ascomycota; Sordariomycetes; Hypocreales; Cordycipitaceae. The record is from Rfam by way of RNAcentral.
AGAAAAAAACAAAUUCAAUUUAAUCUUAAAUUAAAGACCUGAGACAGAGGUGGUGAAACCGUUUUUCGGAUUAACCUCAGGGUGACAAUAUUGAGAAUUAUGACGGCAAGGGGAUAACUCUUAUAAAAAAUAUGCCAGCACAAGGCUGGCAUAUUUUCAUCAU